UACCAGCACCCCGAGUGGUCGGGACGAUUGUUGGGCCUAAAGCAUCCGUAGCCGGUUCUACAAGUCUUCCGUUAAAUCCACCUGCUUAACAGAUGGGCUGCGGAGGAUACUAUAGAGCUAGGAGGCGGGAGAGGCAAGCGGUACUUAGUGGGUAGGGGUAAAAUCCGUUGAUCCAUUGAAGACCACCAGUGGCGAAGGCGGCUUGCCAGAACGCACUCGACGGUGAGGGAUGAAAGCUGGGGGAGCAAACCGG
RNAcentral lists this ribosomal RNA (253 nucleotides) under uncultured bacterium. RNAcentral describes it as "partial 16S ribosomal RNA". It matches the Rfam family "Archaeal small subunit ribosomal RNA", at positions 474 to 727 of the family's 1478-position model. The record is from RNAcentral.